CUCGCCGGGAGGGGCCGGGCCGUGCCCGGGGGCUGCGCUGGGCCCGGGGCCGAGCCCUCCGGGGCCGCCGGGCUCCUUACAGCUCUGCGAGGCUGCAGCCCCUCAGUCGAGCCCAGCGCGUGACCACGGGGGUGACACGAUUUUUGUAGAAUUAGAUUGGAUAUCGGGAAGGAAUUAUUGACUGUAAGGGUGGUUGAAGCCCUGGCACAGGUUGCCCAGAGAAGCUGUGGCUGCCCCAUCACUGGAAGUUACCCAGGCCACAUUGCAUAUGGCUUGGAGCAACUUGGUCUAGUAGAAGGAAGGGAAUGGAAAUUUCUUUUCAAGAGACUGUUCCCUGGGCAAGGCCUGAUGAGUUUAACAUCUCAAUGGACUGGGAGCACCAGAGGAUGCACAAGAGAUAAGCGACCAUUAAUGAACAUGAAUGUCUGAACGUCCUUCCUGGUGUGUCGGAGAUACUUGGUCCAGGAAAAGAUCAUAAGAGAAGAAUGAGGAACUGAUUAGCAUUGAAGGUGAAGAGAUCAAUAACCAAUAGGAAACCAAAUUUUAAGAACUGUGUAACUUCGGACCAAUAAACAUUGAACCAAUGAAUCUCUCUGAGUUUUG
Molecule: long non-coding RNA, 603 nt
Filed under: Chloebia gouldiae (Gouldian finch)
Lineage: Eukaryota; Metazoa; Chordata; Aves; Passeriformes; Passeridae
Description: Erythrura gouldiae (Gouldian finch) lncRNA (ENSEGOG00005012586.1)
Source: RNAcentral